UCGGAUGUGGUGCACGGCGCACGCCCGCUUCCUUGUAUGGAAGGUGCAUGCUGAUUGAAGCGGGAGACUUGGGUUCGACUCCCAGCGUCCGAA
Non-coding RNA from Mycena polygramma, 93 nucleotides. The record is from the annotation of a GenBank genome assembly. Lineage: Eukaryota; Fungi; Basidiomycota; Agaricomycetes; Agaricales; Mycenaceae.